UAUAAACAGAAACCGCCAGUUCUUAUUCGUGCUUGUACUCUACCUUGCUGUUGAAGAAUGAAGCAUACUUCCUUGCAGAGCUUACAGCCGAAUCAAUUCUGUUUGUUUUUUUCAUGUGUCGUGACAAGCGAAAUGGUUUUCGAACAUUAACUUUGGGCUCAGUAAACCUGCGUGUCGGUUUCUGCUGUUACAUUUUUCGUGGUAUAACUGAUCAAUGCCGAUUGUGCUGUCGUCAACUGUUUCAUGUAUUAUAAAUAAAGAACCUGACCAACUGGUCUCAACGAAUUGAAAAUUCAAAGAUUUCUCUUAAACGUAUGCUACUUGGAAUUCAUGAAAAGAAAAUCGAUGCGCGGGUAUGUAUUGGACGGAUUUAGACCUUAAACAAUGUCUACUCAAACAUUUCCCUUGCAGACUCGCAAAUAUUCGCAAACAGGAGUUGGUGUAUUAAUUAUUUAAUUUUCACGUCACUCGGUCAUCUCUAUACCCUCGGUGCUGUGGAAAAAUGGCUAAAUUGGAGUUUCAGCACAGAAAUUUGCAGUUAAACUGAACGGCUAUGUGUACACUGUACACACACAAUUGCUCUCAAAGUAAAUAUAGCCUCGUCGUAUUUCUGAACGACAAAGCUACAAAACCUGUCAAAAUGUCAUUGAAAGUAUGGAAAUUUAAUCAAGAUGAUGGCUUCAAUUUCAUAUCUGGGGGCCCAUUUAUUCACGUGCGUAACACGAGAGAAAAAAUUCAAUUUACAAGGAACAAAGCUUCGAAUCGACUCAUUUUUCACCGACUAUUUCGCAUGCAGUUUGGCUGCUGUUUGAAUUUGAAUUUUCAAUCGAUCAAAACUCGGUAGGACGAAGGAACUUAAUCCAUUUACCGCGAAGUACCCGAAAAUGUUCUUCGCAUCCAUUCUGCAAUUAUCUUUGGCGUUUCGAAAAUAUUCACCUGUAAACUAAUUAAGCAAUCCUUCCUUUACAGUGUUUUCAGCCAAAUGUCGCCCUACGUCUAUAACUAUAUUGAUGUAACCUACUUACAACAACUUGGUGUAGCCUACGGUAAAUACGCUUCAAAUGUUCUAAAAUAACUUGGACCGGGAAACAAGAGAAACGGAUGCAACGUUGGUAAUAAGUGAAUAGCAACCGACGUGUUGUCAGGAUACCAAAGCGUCGACGGAUCAAUCAACCGGGAUUUAAUUUGAAUAACAUUCGCAAUUAAUUUUAAUAGGAAAACAAGUUGGCUAGUAUAUUAUACCGCCGCCAUGCCCAAGAUCAAAUAUCCGAUUAGUAAGUUAUAUCGCUAACAUAUAAUAACGCCCUCGGUUGUUUCAAAUUUCAGCACGACGUACGGUAAUAUAACGUAUGCAUAUAGAAUUCAUCAUUUAUUUUAUUCAUAAGUCAAAUCCCAUAUGCCCCGCCAUGCAGUAUAAGCUAUAUAACUUGUUACCUGCUAUAUGGUAGUAGCCCAGACCUUUCUAUACCGCACAGCUAAUAAUAAGACGAGAAAAUCAGUAUUCAGAACGUGACGAUGCGAGGCUGGAAUGUCACCCCCUGUACUCCCCUGUAUAUAACACGCGCCUGUUUGAAACCUAAUUACAUGGAAGCCUCGCCAACUUGCAUCAGAUGUGAAAUGGUAGGAGAUGUUCCUAGCAUCGAAAUCAUCGAAUUUUCACAAUUCUCUUCUUUAUGUCUAAUUCGCCAUCCAUUUAUGCGAUCGUUCUAAGAACUAAGCCUCGCAUAAUACACGAGGCCAUGCUGCAUAAUAUAUAUAGUAGUUGGAAGUCCCUGAAAAGAAAUGUUCGCAUCAAACUCGGGAGUAAACCAAAACCAUCAGUACAGUCAAAUCCCCCACCAAAACGUCCGGGUGUAUCAUCGAUUAUUACAUCGGUAAGCCAAAAGGGCCACUCCCUUUUCGACGAAGCGGAAUACUAUAUAGGUUAUAGGUAGCUCAUUUCCAAAAGUAGCUCAGUUCUCUGAAUCCUUAAUGAGGAGGCCCCCUUGACGGUUAGAUCUAUACAAUGGUCGGCCGCAAAUUUUCAACUUGAAUAUUCCGGUAGAUAUUAUACACAUCUAAUACCCAGUUAUGUAA
RNAcentral lists this long non-coding RNA (2076 nucleotides) under Daphnia pulicaria. RNAcentral's name for it is "uncharacterized LOC124350948, transcript variant X3". The record is from RNAcentral. Lineage: Eukaryota; Metazoa; Arthropoda; Branchiopoda; Diplostraca; Daphniidae.